GUGCAGGCUAGGAAGGUGCUAUCCCCCCUGCACCCAGCCAGCCAAAUAGAAUGGACCUGCUCUACAACUACUUUGUGGAUAUAGAGUUUGUUCUGCAAGUCAGUUUUGGCGAGCCAGCCAGGAGAACUCUUUGCUGGACCACAGGGCUGGUCAGACCAGGGGAUGCUUCUGGCGCGCCCUGAAAACAAUUUUUUUUUUUUGAGAAGACUCCCCAGGCCAACACGUCCAUAUUCCCUGUGGGGCAGGGAAAGAGCUCCUGCGCAGACCAGAUUUGAUUCUUCCUUGCUAUUUCCAGUUCAGUGGUUGUAGAGCUGGUGGGAAAGAUCAACAACAAGGUUAACAAAACAUGAAGCAUUACAGGAAGUAUGAAUGUCUGCAUUUGUGCCCAUCUUUUUGUUCCUUCAGAUAAAGCAAACAAUUACUAACUUCACUGCAGAGACAGCUGAUACACUUCAGUGGGCUGAAAAUUUAUUGAAAGUUUCAGGCAAAACAAUUAAAUCACCUGGUAUACCCCAAACUAUCAUCAAUCCACGGAACUGGAGAAUUAACUCUUCAACUCGCAAGGCUCUACAUGAUGUUAUGAUGUGGACGACUGAUAACAAAAAUCAUAAAACCAUGGCAGUAUAGCCCAGAUCUCAUCAGUGUGUAUAAAUGUCUAAAAGAAGAAUGCAAAGAACACUGGCUCUUUUCAGUGGUGUGGAAGAGACAAUGGGCACAAACUGGAAAACAAGAGGUUCCAUCUGAACAUAAGGAAGAACUUUACUGUGAGCACUGGCACAAGCUGCCCAGAGAAGUGAUGAAAACUCUCCCCUUGGGCUUUUCCUUGGAUGGCUUCUAAAGUUACUUGGACGUGGUCCUGGGCAAUCUGCUCUGGGUGUCUGCUUGAGCAAAGGAGUUGAACCAGGUGACCUAUAGGGGUCCUUUCCAACGUCAGUCAUUCUGUAAAAAUGUGAUUAUGCAGUGCUAGGAUGUCCUGGGAUCUUUAUAGGCUAGGCUGUGUUUUCUGUUUAGUGGUGGUGGUUCUUUAUUUUUGUUAUCUGUUUGAUUGUUUUGAUGUGAUUACUGGACAUAUAUAAAUAUCAACCACUUGUGCCCUUUGUCAAGGAAAGAAAACCAGACUCUUUGCUUCUUUAAUCUAACAGGUUUUUGUUUUCUAAUUGUCUGAACUCAUACCACAGAUUUUCCUGUGGAGGUGUCUGUAUAAUCUACUAGAUAUGCACAGUUUUUAAAUUAACAUUUGAAUGUAUGCAGGUAUAUAUAUUUUUAUGUCUGUCAAUAUAUAAUUUUCCUAACUAAAUAUAUAUACUCAAAAUAUAAUCUUUCCAAAAUGUACAGCCUCUUGUAAAUAAAUUUGAUCCCUUACAGGUACUUGCUGAAGUGACCUGAAUGCUUUUUCAUAAAGGGUGAAAUUAGAAACUUCAUAAUUUUUAAUGUUUUAAUAAAAUUUUCAGCCUCUCUGUUGAAAAUCUUUUAAAUUUCUUCUAAAAAUGUCAGCCUUCUGGAUACAUUUUCCAGCAAAAAACAAACAAAUCUGUGAUUUUUUUCCAAAUUAACAGAAGUUUUGCAAAAUCAUAGUCUAAACUAGGACCUAUUAGGCCAUUUAUGGUGUUUUAAACACUGCACUCACAAUAAAACCAACAAUUUACAUUAUUUUUCCAUCUACUUUUU
Long non-coding RNA from Gallus gallus (chicken), 1668 nucleotides. RefSeq lists it as uncharacterized. The transcript has 5 exons. NCBI's taxonomy places the organism in Eukaryota, Metazoa, Chordata, Aves, Galliformes, Phasianidae. The record is from RefSeq and is a predicted model, not a curated record.